CAAGUCGUGGGAAUCCCCAGCAAUGGGGGGAACCGGCGUAAAGGGCAGUAGGGCGUGGGUACCCACCCCGGGGUCCGGGAUAGCCGUCCGAGAGGGCGGGUAAUACCGGAUGACCUCGGGAGAGCAAAGGUUUACCGCCCCGGGCGGGGCCCACGUGGUAUCAGGUAGUCGGUGGGGUGACGGCCCACCGAGCCGCAGACGCCUAGCGGGUGUGAGAGCACGACCCGCGCCACUGGCACUGAGACACUGGCCAGACACCUACGGGUGGCUGCAGUCGAGGAUCUUCGGCAAUGGGGGCAACCCUGACCGAGCGACGCCGCGUGUGCGACGAAGGCCUUCGGGUUGUAAAGCACUGUCGAGGGGGAGGAAGGCCGCAAGGCGUGACCUAUCCCUGGAGGAAGCACGGGCUAAGUUCGUGCCAGCAGCCGCGGUAAGACGAACCGUGCGAACGUUGUUCGGAAUCACUGGGCUUAAAGGGCGCGUAGGCGGGCCGUCGCGUCCGGGGUGAAAUCCCCCCGCUCAACGGGGGGACGGCCUCGGAUACGGGCGGCCUGUAGGCGGGUAGGGGCACACGGAACUGUGGGUGGAGCGGUGAAAUGCCUUGAGAUCCACGUGAACUCCUGU
RNAcentral lists this ribosomal RNA (624 nucleotides) under uncultured Planctomycetia bacterium. Its description in RNAcentral is "bacterial SSU rRNA". It matches the Rfam family "Bacterial small subunit ribosomal RNA", at positions 58 to 713 of the family's 1533-position model. The record is from RNAcentral. Lineage: Bacteria; Pseudomonadati; Planctomycetota; Planctomycetia.